GGUGUGAUGAUGUGUUACUCAUAUG
Molecule: non-coding RNA, 25 nt
Filed under: Arabidopsis thaliana (thale cress)
Lineage: Eukaryota; Viridiplantae; Streptophyta; Magnoliopsida; Brassicales; Brassicaceae
Source: RNAcentral